UCCCCAAUGGCUCAGUGGUAGAGAAUUUGCCUGCAAUGCAGGAGACCCAGGUUCGAUCCCUGGGUGGGAAA
RNAcentral lists this transfer RNA (71 nucleotides) under Bos taurus (domestic cattle). It matches the Rfam family "tRNA". From Rfam's summary of the family: Transfer RNA (tRNA) molecules are approximately 80 nucleotides in length. Their secondary structure includes four short double-helical elements and three loops (D, anti-codon, and T loops). The record is from Rfam by way of RNAcentral. Lineage: Eukaryota; Metazoa; Chordata; Mammalia; Artiodactyla; Bovidae. RNAcentral also lists the same sequence under 1 other name.